Zeugodacus cucurbitae (melon fly) is the source of this 986-nucleotide long non-coding RNA. RefSeq lists it as uncharacterized. The record is from RefSeq and is a predicted model, not a curated record. The transcript has 2 exons. Lineage: Eukaryota; Metazoa; Arthropoda; Insecta; Diptera; Tephritidae.
UGUAUGAUUUCAAGGAGGACUUCGAGUGUACCGAAUUCAACGGUGUAUGCAAGCGAGCACAACAUGUGCACCCAGUUGUGGUUCCAUAGCACUUUGUCGACAAUGUACAGCUCGUUUGCUUGAGUCGCACCAUAUUCCAAAUGUGUCUUGGCGUCUUACAUCCCACCAGUCAAGUGGGUCAUUUUCACCAGUGAAUUGGUUUGGAACGCAGGAAGUCAAGCGACUUCUGUUAGUAAUGCCGGAACGCAUACUUUUACCUGUGAUGUGAUCGUCGGUCCUACUGAGCAGACAACAGCAAGUCCAUUCACUUGAGAUCAUAUAACUCCAGUUGAAAAUGGUGUAAACACUGUCACAAUGAGGGAGAUGUUAAGUGUUCCUGUGGUCCGAACACAUACAUAUUUUGGCAAGAAAAAUAAAGCUUGUACUAUUUAUAAACCAUUUGAAUUAACUUUAUUUAAAUAAUUUAAUAAUUUAUAUCAAUAAAGUUCAAAUUUUAAACUACAUUGGUUUCAAUUUUAUUUCACAUUGUGGCUGAGAAACCGUUAUCUCAAGAGAACAGACUACAGGUAAGUGCAAAUACAACCAACCUAAUAUUGGGAGAAUGUUUCAUAAGUUUAGUCGUCAAAACGUAGUGCGAAAAUCUUCAGAGUGUAGAACUGACGCAACGAGCCGGUACAUUUGGUGUACAAUAGCGGGUAGAACUGUCAAAGUAAGUAGCACCUGGACAGAAGUAGAGCGCUCCACUCCAGACGUUGCCAUUUAUGAAACAAUAAACAUACCUUAAUCAGAGAGAAGAUGUUAUAUGUAAGUACUGAAAAGAAGGAGUAUUAAAAUCUACUCACGCUUUACAUGUUGUUGUAAGAUUAUUGCCGACAGGAAAACGACCAUUUAUUAGUAUGGUUUGACAAUACGCAACUGGGUCGAAGAAGUAUCUACUCGUGGAAGUAGUACUGACAGUAGUACUUUCGGUGCAAUCGCCGACUGUA